RNAcentral lists this ribosomal RNA (428 nucleotides) under uncultured bacterium. RNAcentral describes it as "partial 16S ribosomal RNA". It matches the Rfam family "Bacterial small subunit ribosomal RNA", at positions 354 to 796 of the family's 1533-position model. The record is from RNAcentral.
GUAGGGAAUAUUGCGCAAUGGACGAAAGUCUGACGCAGCGACGCCGCGUGAGUGAUGAAGGCCUUAGGGUCGUAAAGCUCUGUUGAAUGGGAAGAAAAAAAUGACGGUACCAUUCGAGGAAGGACCGGCUAACUUCGUGCCAGCUGCCGCGGUAAUACGAGGGGUCCUAGCGUAGUUCGGAAUCAUUGGGCGUAAAGGGUGUGUAGGUGGCCAUGUAAGUCAGGUGUGAAAGCCCCGGGCUCAACCCGGGAAGUGCACUUGAUACUGCGUGGCUUGAGUACCGAAGAGGGUAGUGGAAUUCCAGGUGUAGUGGUGAAAUACGUAGAUAUCUGGAGGAACACCGGUGGCGAAGGCGGCUACCUGGUCGAGUACUGACACUGAGACACGAAAGCAUGGGGAUCAAACAGGAUUAGAAACCCCAGUAGUCC